UCCCCCUGGAAGUGGACAAAGAGACACCAUAUUGGUUGAGUUGUUCUUGUAUCAGUCAGGGAAGAGCAGAAGGCAGCCCUUUGUUCAUCCUAGCUUGAUUCCUGGCUUGGGGGGCAAAGCUAUUUUAUGCCUAGGACUCAUAA
Mastomys coucha (southern multimammate mouse) is the source of this 143-nucleotide small nucleolar RNA. RefSeq annotates it as small nucleolar RNA SNORA48. The transcript has a single exon. The record is from RefSeq and is a predicted model, not a curated record. Lineage: Eukaryota; Metazoa; Chordata; Mammalia; Rodentia; Muridae.